Acidovorax sp. RAC01 is the source of this 117-nucleotide regulatory RNA element. It matches the Rfam family "ALIL pseudoknot". Lineage: Bacteria; Pseudomonadati; Pseudomonadota; Betaproteobacteria; Burkholderiales; Comamonadaceae. The record is from Rfam.
CGCGUUUUUCGCCCAGGCGGAGCUCGACCGCCGCCUGAAGUCUUGAAGACCUUCAUCGACCAGCAUCGCAAUGCUUUCGGGGUCGAGCCGCUCUGCAAGGUUCUGCAGGUUGCCCCG